Molecule: small nuclear RNA, 188 nt
Organism: Sphaerodactylus townsendi
Lineage: Eukaryota; Metazoa; Chordata; Lepidosauria; Squamata; Sphaerodactylidae
Product: U2 spliceosomal RNA
Exons: 1
Source: RefSeq, a predicted model, not a curated record
UAGGCUUCUCGGCCUUUUGGCUAAGAUCAAGUGUAGUAUCUGUUCUUAUCCGUUUAAUACCUGAUACGUCCUCUAUUUGAGGACUAUAUAUUAAAUGGAUUUUUGGGACUGAGAGAGUUUGGAGAGAACUGUGAUUAGCCCAAGGUCACCCAGUAGCAGCAAGCCUUUAUUGGCAUAGACAACAGUAC